Helianthus annuus (common sunflower) is the source of this 3073-nucleotide long non-coding RNA. RefSeq lists it as uncharacterized. The record is from RefSeq and is a predicted model, not a curated record. The transcript is spliced from 5 exons. Lineage: Eukaryota; Viridiplantae; Streptophyta; Magnoliopsida; Asterales; Asteraceae.
UCAUCAAGCCCACCGAUGAGGACUUCCAACUUGAUCAACUGACCUCCUCUGGUACCUGGCUUGAGUGGAGCACAUAAUUACUUUUGUCGCUUGAUGUAACCUUGACCCUAGUCUCGAGAAUAAAUAUCUAUGCUAUAUAGCUUUACUGUCGUCGUCUUCUUUGAGCAAAUAUUUCACAUGACACAUUACUUUCGUUGCUAGUCAUAUCGAAUGGGCACCAAUUUUGAUCUUCUCUCCCACCAGGCCACCACCAUUGCCGCCUAGUCGCCUACCCAUCAAUUUUUGGGAUAGUGACUAUAACUUGCUUGAAGCUUGAACCUACUUGUCACAAGGUCAUUCUUAAAGGCCUGCACUAGUUGUCUGAAGGCCAUCCAUUUCGUCCGGCAUAUAUAGAGAUAUGAUUCAUUGGUUUAGUCAUGUUAUUGAAGAUAAAAAUUCGAUUUUUUCUAGCUUCCUAGUGUUUAGAAUGAUUCUAUUUGAUCUCCAAGCAAUAAAAGAUCAUGUAUUUACACUUGAAGCAAGGUUUCAUUCUCUAACUGGUGCCCUUAAAGAACUUUACCUCUUUGUCAGUGAUGCAAAGUUUUUGGAUAUGUGAUGACCAACAAACAAACACAGUGAAGGUAGUGGAAAUGAGUAAACAAAAUGGGGAGGUAAUUAUAUUUUACCUAAUUUUAUUAGCUGCUCUAAACAUGCAAUAUAUUCUUUCUAUAUGAAUAUAUAAAAUGUAUAAUUAUCAUUUAUGAUACACUGAAUAUCUCCAGCAAAUUCCCAUGUCUAUGAUGCAUUAGUUGAAGGCUCAUGACAGAAUCAUGGCCUUUGAUCUUCCUCACAAUGUCACGUACUGGAAACUUCUAUGAUGAACUUUUAAAAGAACCAACCAAAACUUUAACUUUUGUAAGUUUAGUAUGUUGAUGUUAGUUUCCUGCUACGAUCCUUUACUUGCAUUUAUGUGUUGUUUAUCUAUUUAGUUUUGGGAUCAUGAAUCCUUAUUUGGCAUCCUUGCUUACUUAUUACAUCAAUUAUAUUGUUAUUACUAUUAUUAGGUAAUUCAGCUUUAUACUUACCUUCCCUUCCUGUCCUAUCUCAAACUGAUACAAAGAAGAUUUCCACGGUAUCCAUAUUUUUUUGAGACUAUGCUUGCAAAUUGAAUGUGAGCACCGACUAUAAUUAUUAUGACCAGGUACAUCUAACUUUUAAAUUGUAUAAAACUUUUGACAUAUUUGAUUUGUAUUUCCGAAAUUGCAGUUGGUGAAAGUGCCACACUCUUCAGGCCUAAACUGAUAGUUACUGGUGCAAGUGCUUAUGCUCAUUUAUAUGACUGACUAUGCACGUAUUCGCAAGGUUUGUGACAAACAAAAAGCUAUUUUGUUAGUAGAUACGACACACAUUAGCGGUUGGUUUCAUCCAUCCCCAUUUGACUAUGAAGAUGUUGUGACCACAACCAACAACAAGUCACUUCGAGGCCCACGAGAGGUUUUCCAUGAUUAUGAAGACAAGAUCAACCAGGAUGUUUUCCUGGACUUCAGGCGGCCCAGAUUGUAGUUACAUUGAAACAGGUAGCAACGUUUUCAAGAAUUUACAUACAUAAAAGUUAUUUACAUUUUUAAUAUGAGUUCAAAAUAAUUCUUCCAAAGUAUAAUAAAUCUUUGUUUGCCCUUAUAUAUUUCUCUUAUAUGUGUUAAAUAUGGUUUUUAAUAUCGCGUUUUUAAGUAUAUGAAUGUAUAGCCACAACAACACAAUGUAAGGCAUAUCAAGAGGAAGUUUGCAGAGGUAUGAUAUGACUAAGCCGCAUCUAAUUUCCUGGAAAGUCUAUGAACCUUUUGUGGUUUUUCUUCAAGUUUAAGCAUCAUCAUAAGUCAUUUACACAUAUAUACAUUUUUCAGACUCUUGUUAAGGCUAUGGGGUAUGGGAUACGUCAGCACCACCUAGGAUUCACGUCAGCCAGGGGGCUUUAUAACGCCCUCCUUUAACUUGCAGGGUGUGGGAUAAAGCCCCGUCAUCAUUACCUAAUUAUUAUUUUUAUUUAAAUUUAAAAAUUAUUUAAUUUUGAAAUAUUAAUUUAAAUAUUUCAAAAUAAAAAAUAAAAAACAAAGUCAUAAUUUAAAUAAAAAACAUACAAUGUCAUAAUUAAAUAAAAAAAAUACAAAGUCACUCGUCAUCUUCGCCGUCUCCUCCUUGUUAAUGAUAAAUCGGAUGCCAUUUUUUAGUUGUGAUUGGUGUGUGUUUUAGUUGUGAUUGGUGUGUGUUUUAGUUUGGGAUAGGUUUGUAUUUAUAUUUGAAUAAAAAAACUUUUUUUUAAAGUGAACGUUGGCAACGGAUAUGUUAACCAACUACCUCGAUCGUCCCAAUUUCAAAACGUUACCAUGGUGGCGAGCUACCUAUAGCGCCCCUCCUUAAACCUCAUGGUGUGGGGUGGCGCCACCACCCAGACACCAUUGAUGCUGAAUAGGCAAAGAGUGGGGCCCCACACGACCACACCCUCCUGCCUAAGAGUGGAUAUGGGAUUGGGGACACAGAAAACCACUUAGUUUUGGUCAAAUUGAAAUAUAAGGUAAACCAUAUUCGGAAUUUCAUUUGGCCAAUAAUUCUCAAAAAUAUAAAAUUACAAGCCAUUUACAUAUAUGUUUUUAACCAGGGAAAUGAUGGUUCAAGCCUCAAGGGUUGAAAAGAUGUUGGAAGCCCUUCACAUUGCAUCAAGGGUGAAGCCCAAGGGACAACGUUGAAGGACUUCAUGGCUGCAGUGCAGUCUAGUGCCUUUCAAUCGGAACUUAAUUUCAGCGCUACGCCACAAUUUGAGAUACACAAACUAAGGAAUCAUACAAGCUAUGUGUCAUGAAGGUGGAGUUGAUUACAAGGCUUGUGUAUGAAGUCAAUAUGUAUAUGUAAAUCCAUAGAUGAUUUGUUAUUACAGUCACUAAUUUGUAGGUUGAUUGAACACAUCAGCACAUGGUUAGUUGGUUACGAAACAUAGAAUAUUGAUUAGAAUGUAGUUGAAAAAAUGAUUAAAGUAUAAAGUUUUAGAAUAUUUACGUAAAAUUUCUCGAAUUGUUCAGUUGUUUUGUAAAAUAUACUA